GACGAACGCUGGCGGCGUGCUUAAAACAUGCAAGUCGAACGGGAAGGGCCUGCCUUUGUUGGGUUCUCGGGUGGCGGACGGGUGAGUAACAAGUGGGUUACCUGCCCCUGGCUUUGGGAUAACUUCCGGAAAAUGGGGCUAAAACCGGAUAGGAGCCUCUGCUGCCUGGUGGGGGUUGGAAAGUUUCGGCGGUUGGGGAUGGACUUGCGGGUUAUCAGCUUGUUGGUGGGGUAGUGGCUUACCAAGGCUUUGACGGGUAGCCGGCCUGAGAGGGUGACCGGCCACAUUGGGACUGAGAUACGGCCCAGACUCCUACGGGAGGCAGCAGUGGGGAAUAUUGCACAAUGGGCGGAAGCCUGAUGCAGCAACGCCGCGUGCGGGAUGACGGCCUUCGGGUUGUAAACCGCUUUCGCCUGUGACGAAGCGUGAGUGACGGUAAUGGGUAAAGAAGCACCGGCUAACUACGUG
This 468-nucleotide ribosomal RNA is filed under the name uncultured bacterium. RNAcentral describes it as "partial 16S ribosomal RNA". It matches the Rfam family "Bacterial small subunit ribosomal RNA", at positions 28 to 507 of the family's 1533-position model. The record is from RNAcentral.